RNAcentral lists this ribosomal RNA (513 nucleotides) under uncultured fungus. Its description in RNAcentral is "SSU rRNA". It matches the Rfam family "Eukaryotic small subunit ribosomal RNA", at positions 214 to 727 of the family's 1831-position model. Lineage: Eukaryota; Fungi. The record is from RNAcentral.
AUUAAAAACCAAUGCCCUUCGGGGCUCUCUGGUGAUUCAUAAUAACUUCUCGAAUCGCACGGCCUUGCGCCGGCGAUGGUUCAUUCAAAUUUCUGCCCUAUCAACUUUCGACGGCUGGGUCUUGGCCAGCCGUGGUGACAACGGGUAACGGAGGGUUAGGGCUCGACCCCGGAGAAGGAGCCUGAGAAACGGCUACUACAUCCAAGGAAGGCAGCAGGCGCGCAAAUUACCCAAUCCCGACACGGGGAGGUAGUGACAAUAAAUACUGAUACAGGGCUCUUUCGGGUCUUGUAAUUGGAAUGAGUACAAUUUAAAUCCCUUAACGAGGAACAAUUGGAGGGCAAGUCUGGUGCCAGCAGCCGCGGUAAUUCCAGCUCCAAUAGCGUAUAUUAAAGUUGUUGCAGUUAAAAAGCUCGUAGUUGAACUUCGAACCUGGUUGGGUGGUCUGCCUUCACGGUACGUACUGCCUGGCCGGGUCCUACCUCUUGCUGAGCCGGCAUGCCCUUCACUGGA